Castor canadensis (American beaver) is the source of this 1697-nucleotide non-coding RNA. Lineage: Eukaryota; Metazoa; Chordata; Mammalia; Rodentia; Castoridae. The record is from the annotation of a RefSeq genome assembly.
AUGGCUGCAGAUGAGGACGGCCAUGCCAGCCGCAGGCACCUAGAAGAGGACUUCAGUCUGACCUGGACCUAUUCUACAGCCUCUGUCCAGAAGCCCUUCGUCUUCCCCUUGUCGAACUGCUGCAACAACACUGCUCUCAAGACACUGGGAUGCCUGGUCACAGGCUACUUCCCAGAGCCAGUGACCAUAACCUGGAACACAAACUCCUCAAACACGAGCACCUGGAAAUUCCCCUCCAUCACUUCCAGCUCUGGUGUCUCUUUCACCGCCAGUCAAGUGGCCAUCCAGGGCAAGUUGGCAGGACAACGCUUCACCUGCCAGGUGAAGCAUGAUCCAUCUGCAAGCCACCAGAACAGGACUGUCAAAGCUUGCAUCUCUUCCAACUUCACCCAGCCCACCGUGAAGCUCUUCCAUUCCUCCUGUGACCCCAGUGGGUCUCAUACCACCAUCCAGCUCUACUGCCUCAUUUCUAACUACACCCCAGGUGACUUCAAGGUCACCUGGCUAAAGAACAGCCAGGAAAUCACCAACAGGCAGUCAUCCAUCGCCCCAUCCAAGCAAGAAGGCAAGCUGGCCUCCACCUAUGCUGAGCUCAACAUCACCCAGGAAGAAUGGGUGUCUGAGAGCACCUUCACCUGCAAGGUCACCUAUGAAGACUCCAUUAUUGAGGCCCAUGCCCAGAAGUGCACAGAAUAUGAACCACGAGGCGUGAGUGCCUACCUGAUUCCACCCAGCCCCCUCGACCUGUACUUCCACAAAGCGCCCAAGCUCACCUGUCUGGUGGUGGAUCUGGAAAAUGAUAAAGUCACCGUGACCUGGUCCCGGUUGAGCAAGAGGCCUGUGCAGGAGAGCUCCCAGAAGGUUAAUAGGUACUACAAUGCCACAACCAGCAUCACCUCCACCCUGCCCCUGGUAACCCAGGACUGGAUUGAAGGCGAGACCUACCUGUGCACAGUGAACUACUCCUUCCUGCCCAAGCCCAUUGUGCGCUCCAUCACCAAGACCCAGGGAAAGCGGGAGAUUCCUGAGAUCUACAUGUUCCCACCACCGGAGGAGAAGGGGAACCAGAACAAGCUCACCCUCACCUGCCUGAUCCAGAACUUCUUCCCCAAGGACAUCUCGGUGCAGUGGCUACGUAACAAGGUGCUGAUCCCAAGCAACGAGCACAGUACUACAGUGCCCCUGAACACCAGUGGCUCCAGAACCACCUUCUUCAUCUUCAGCCGCCUGGAGGUCACCCGGGCAGACUGGAUGCAGAACAACAAAUUCACCUGCCGCGUGGUCCAUGAGGCACUGCCUGAACCUAGGACCAUUGAGAAAACAGUGUCCAAGAACCCGGAGCUGGACCUCCAGGACCUGUGCACAGAGGAGGCCGAGAGUGAGGAGCUGGACGGGCUGUGGACCAGCACCUGUAUUUUCAUCAUCUUGUUUCUUCUCAGCGUGAGCUAUGGUGCCACUGUCACCCUCCUCAAGGUGAAGUGGGUCUUCUCAGCCCUACUGCAGAGCACGCCUCAAGCUCUCCACGACUAUGCCAACGUCCUCCAGCCUCGGGCCUAGGCUGGACACCAGCACCCUUACAGCAUCCUGAGCUUCCUGUUCUGCCCUGGGUAGCAGGUGGGAGCACACAGACCCCACACUCACACAGAGGCCAGAGUCAGGGGCCCAAAAACCAACACACCAGAAUCCAGAAGGUUCGU